CGGACCUCAGAUCAGACAAGACCACCCGCUGAGUUUAAGCAUAUCACUAAGCGGAGGAAAAGAAACU
This 67-nucleotide ribosomal RNA is filed under the name Marchesinia robusta. RNAcentral's name for it is "partial 26S ribosomal RNA". It matches the Rfam family "Eukaryotic large subunit ribosomal RNA", at positions 1 to 66 of the family's 3401-position model. The record is from RNAcentral. Lineage: Eukaryota; Viridiplantae; Streptophyta; Jungermanniopsida; Porellales; Lejeuneaceae.